UAUAAAGUUUGCUGUCUCCUUUGUUCGCCCUCGUUGCGCAGUAGUGCUGGCGGCUUUUACGUUCGGUCUUCGAAGCCGGCAGCCGUAGGUUGUGCUGAGGUGCUGUUAGGAAGCCCUGUCAGCGAGCUCUUAGGAGCUUGAAACCUUCGUCACGCCUCCGACACGCCGAGAACAAAAAUGGUUGAAGCAGACCGCCCAGGAAAGCUCUUCAUUGGUGGGCUUAAUACAGAAACAAAUGAAAAAGCUCUUGAAGCGGUAUUUGGCAAAUAUGGACGAAUAGUGGAAGUGCUCUUGAUGAAAGACAGAGAAACCAACAAAUCCAGAGGAUUUGCUUUUAUCACCUUUGAAAGCCCAGCAGAUGCAAAAGAUGCAGCCAGAGACAUGAAUGGAAAGUCUUUAGAUGGAAAAGCCAUCAAAGUGGAACAAGCUACAAAACCAUCAUUUGAAAGUGGUAGACGUGGACCACCUCCACCUCCAAGAAGCAGAGGCCCUCCGAGAGGUCUUAGGGGUGGAAGAGGAGGAAGUGGAGGAACCAGGGGACCUCCCUCUCGGGGAGGGCACAUGGAUGAUGGUGGCUAUUCCAUGAAUUUUAACAUGAGUUCUUCCAGGGGACCACUCCCAGUAAAAAGAGGACCACCACCACGAAGUGGGGGUCCUCCUCCUAAAAGAUCUGCCCCUUCAGGACCAGUUCGCAGUAGCAGUGGAAUGGGAGGAAGAGCUCCUGUAUCACGUGGAAGAGACAGUUACGGAGGCCCACCUCGAAGAGAACCCUUGCCCUCUCGUAGAGAUGUUUAUUUGUCCCCAAGAGAUGAUGGAUAUUCUACUAAAGACAGCUAUUCAAGCAGAGACUACCCAAGUUCUCGAGAUACAAGAGAUUAUGCACCACCACCAAGAGAUUAUACUUAUCGCGAUUAUGGUCAUUCCAGUUCACGUGAUGACUAUCCAUCAAGAGGCUAUAGUGAUAGAGAUGGAUACGGUCGUGAUCGUGACUAUUCAGAUCAUCCAAGUGGAGGUUCCUACAGAGACUCAUAUGAGAGUUAUGGUUGAGGAUUAUUGUCAUUAUGAUCAUGGAGUGCUGAUUUAUUCACAGUAGAUAAAAGCUGGCAGCAAGAGAAAUCAAAUGCUAAGAGUUGUUGAAGCGGAAGAAUGCUGGUUGCUAAGUCACAACGGGUUGCAUAAGCAGUGCUGUCAGAAUUGGUUUGGUGGAGGCAAUUGCCUUCAAGGGUUCUUGUGGAUCUGAAGAGGGCAUCAGUGUUAACACUUAAAUAGGGAGUGGUAGUUACUUAAAAUUGGCCAAAUGGAGAAAAGAAAGCAAUUAAGGAAAUUGGUCAGUGGAGGUAGUCAGGGAGUUCUUGUGGUUCUUCACCUUUUGCAACUUUGGCUUUCAUUUUAUUUAGCUAAAGUGAGGGCAACUGCAGUUUAGAACUUGAAUUAGAAAAAUAAUGGAUAGAAGUGGUUAACUCUUAUCCAGUAAAGUGUCCUGAUUUUUCAGCAAGUGAAACAUCUUGUGGCCUUAGCUUAUCUGAUGAGGGUUUAGUUUGUAAAAGAAAACUAACAGGGAGUGAGGUCUGGAAACAAAAGUAAAAUAACUAGAAACUUUGCUGACAUUUAAAAACACACUUAAAACUGGAAGCAAAACCAAAUCACUUGGCUUUGUUUACUGUAUUGUUUUGUAAACCUACUUUACCCCCACCUCCUAACCUUGGAAACAAAUUACACAAUUUUAGUUAUUGCCUUGAAGAUGAUAGCCAGUAUUCUCAGAGGAAACAAAUUUGAGUUUGUUGGGUUAUAGAAACUAACUCAACUGAGAUUUUUUUUUUGUGUGUUGGAAUUAAAGCACUGAUGUUUAGUCACUGGGGAAGAUGGUUUUUUGUUGUUUUUGUUUUGUUUUUAUUGGAGGCGGAGUCUUCAUUUUGUCGCCCUUGGUAGAGUGUCCUGACGUCAUAGCUCACAGCAAACCUCAAAAUCUUGGGCUCAAGCCAUUCUCUUGCCUCAGCCUCCUGAGUAGUUGGGACUAGGGACCUGCCACAAUGCCUGGUUAUUUUUUAGAGAGGUGGUCUCUGGCUUAGGCUGGUCUCCAACCUGUAAGCUCAGGCAAUCCACCCGCCUCAGCCUCCCAAGUGCUAGGAUUACAGGUGUGAGCCACUGUGCUUGGCCUGAUAGUUUUUAUCCUCAUUUGAUAAGACUUCAUAGUCUCAGACCAUGAGGAUAUUGACCAAGUUUACAUACUUGUUGCACUUCAUAGCUCUCUUAGCUCAGUCCUUCCAUACUGUAAUUACUUGGAUUAAUGCUUCUAUGAGUACAUUUUGGCUUUUGAGAUUUUGUUUAUCCCUAAAUAGUGUAGAAUAUAGAGAUUAAUCAUAGUAAAUAUGAGUUCCAAAUUGAAAGUACAGAGCAGGCUUAUUAAAUCAUCAGGUACCUGUACCUGUUGCUGUUGGACAAAUAGUUUACUGACCUUGCAAGCUUGUGGAAAAAGAAUCACUCUUGAUUCUUCUGGCUUUAUUAUAACUGGUUGGUUGUAAAUGAAACAGAAUAAUACAGAAAAUGUUUUCCUUGUUUAACUGGUAGUGGAAAAUAGAAUUUAGGUAUUAUAGAUCACUUUCAGUAUGUUUUUUUUAUAUAUAAACUUAAUAAAACUUUAACUUCAUCUUUUUCGUGGCAAUGGGUCCUUUAUACUCUUGGAGGUAGAAAUUUCUUUAGGCUUUUAAGUGUUAUUUUUCUACACACACACCCCCCAUUGUACCUCUAAUGCAUUGCUGGCACUUGAUCAGCAUUCUAGAGUCAUUGAGGUGACCUCCCUUGACAAGGCCUCCUUUAUGGGGGGCUGUAGAGAGUAUUUCAGCUGAUUUAAUUUAAUACUCUAAAAAUUGGGGUGAUCACACCUGAACUAGAAGCUAAACCACCAGGAAUCCACUGUAGCACUUCUAUUUCCUGCUUAAUUGUUGGAAAAACAGGGCAAUAACAAUUUACUUGUGAUAGAGGAUCCCAAACACUGUGGACAAAGUUCUUCAAUACUGUUAAGCUACAGGCUUCUAUGUUUUGCAGCUUUCAGUUUCUCUGUUCUAUCCUGUUUUCAUCUAAUUGGUGCUCAUUUGCACCUUUAACAGAACAGGACAUUGCAUUUGGGUUAUAUAGCCAGUAACAGAACUCUCAAUCACGUGGAAAAGGAAUGCAGCUGGAAUCCCACAUCAAGAUUGUGGGGAAAUCCCUAAGCAGUGUCAUUUUGUAUGUUGCCUCAACUCCUCAGAAUUUCCGACCCAUCAGUUUUUGUUUUUUUGUUUUUUUUUUUUUUAAAGAGACAGUCUCACUUUGUCACCCUUGGUAGAGUGCUGUGACGUCACAGCUCACAGCAACCUCCAGCUCUUGGGUUUAGGUGAUUCUCUUGCCUCAGCCUUCCGAGUAGCUGGGACUACAGGUGCCCACCACAACGCCUGGCUAUUUUUUGCAGUUUGGCCAGGGCCAAGUUUGAACCCACCACCCUUGGCAUAUGGGGCCAGCACCCUACUCAUGGAACCACAGGUGCUGUCCCAUGGCCCAUUCUAUAAAUAGCACACAUCAAUUUAUUUACCUGAAAAGUAUUUUCAAUUUACAUAUGGAUAAUUAGGUCAAUAUGGGUUUUUCAGGUAAAAUUUAAGUGCUGAAAUGUUUAAGUAUCCUAUCAUUCCAUGAACUGUGGUAAGUGCACGUAUUCUGUCACGCUAAGAGUAUUUAGCCCUCACCUCGGAAAGUUAACCACGUGGCCCUUCCCAGAUGAUUCCUACUCAUCCUGCAAAAGUGCUUUUUUUCUUUAGUUUCAUAAUUUUGCCUGUUAAUAGGAAAUCAAGUGAUGUCAUAAUAUAUGGAGCCUGUGUCUUUCAUGCAGCAAAAUAAUUGAGAUUUACCAAUGUGUAUGUCAUUACUUUGUUGUUAGUAUGAGUGUGGUACAGUUAGCUAUUGAGGGGAACCUGGGCCUUUUCUAUUUUUUUGGCUGUUACAGAUAAAGUUGCUAAUGAAUCUCUUACAUAAAUCUGUAUGUGUAAUUAUUGAGAAAUAAAAACAUGGAAUCGCUGGAUUGAAGAAAUGUGUAUAGUUUCCUGAG
This is an RNA transcript of Nycticebus coucang (slow loris), 4078 nucleotides long. It is a transcript of the gene named RNA binding motif protein X-linked, with no coding region annotated. The record is from RefSeq and is a predicted model, not a curated record. The transcript is spliced from 10 exons. NCBI's taxonomy places the organism in Eukaryota, Metazoa, Chordata, Mammalia, Primates, Lorisidae.